UAUUAGGUUGGUACAAAAGUAAUUGCAGUUUUUGCCAUUGAAAGUAAUGGCAAAAACCAUAAUUACUUUUGUACCAAUCUAAUA
This 84-nucleotide microRNA precursor is filed under the name Macaca fascicularis (crab-eating macaque). RNAcentral describes it as "mir-548 microRNA precursor family". It matches the Rfam family "mir-548 microRNA precursor family". The record is from Rfam by way of RNAcentral. RNAcentral also lists the same sequence under 2 other names. Lineage: Eukaryota; Metazoa; Chordata; Mammalia; Primates; Cercopithecidae.